GCUUCUAGAAACAAUAGACUCAUAUAGCAAGGUGGCAGGCUACAAAAUUAACACACAGAAAUCAAUGGCCUUUUUAUACACCAAUAAUGAAAGGGAAGAGAAGGAAGUCAAGAAGGCAAUCCCAUUCACAUUAGUGCCACACAAACUCAAAUAUCUUGGAAUCAACUUGACCAAAGAUGUGAAGGAC
Molecule: long non-coding RNA, 187 nt
Organism: Suncus etruscus (white-toothed pygmy shrew)
Lineage: Eukaryota; Metazoa; Chordata; Mammalia; Eulipotyphla; Soricidae
Exons: 2
Source: RefSeq, a predicted model, not a curated record